Molecule: unclassified non-coding RNA, 279 nt
Filed under: plant metagenome
Description: partial contains small subunit ribosomal RNA, internal transcribed spacer 1, and 5.8S ribosomal RNA
Source: RNAcentral
UUUCCGUAGGUGAACCUGCGGAAGGAUCAUUAUUGUAUAGCCUAGGUGCGAGGGCUGUCGCUGACCCGGAAGGUCGUGCACGCCGGAUUGCCCUCACACACAUCCAUCUUACCCCCUAUGUGCACCACCACUGGGGUCCCCCUUUUGCUUGUUCGGAAGGGGUCUUACGUUUGGACCCAAACGUUGUAUGCAGGAUAGAGAAUAUUGUUGAUUGUUGCGAUCACCCAAUCAAUACAACUUUCAACUACGGAUCUCUUGUCUCUCGCAUCGAUGAAAAAA